RNAcentral lists this non-coding RNA (30 nucleotides) under Rattus norvegicus (Norway rat). The record is from RNAcentral. Lineage: Eukaryota; Metazoa; Chordata; Mammalia; Rodentia; Muridae.
UAAUUUUCGUGGCUCCCAGGGUGUGGAAGU